RNAcentral lists this small RNA (162 nucleotides) under Lactobacillus gallinarum. RNAcentral's name for it is "Listeria sRNA rli28". It matches the Rfam family "Listeria sRNA rli28", at positions 11 to 166 of the family's 186-position model. The record is from RNAcentral. Lineage: Bacteria; Bacillati; Bacillota; Bacilli; Lactobacillales; Lactobacillaceae.
UAGUAUAAUUUUAUCUGUAGAAAAGCUGAAGCAGUGGCUAUCCUUGAAGGAGAUGGUGCUUAUGAGUGAUUUUUGACUCAUGCCAACAUCCUAAUAGAAAGGAGACGCCUCGUGUCUGUAUCAGACGCGUUGCAACUAAUGUUAGAUUUUGGCUCAUUAUAU